RNAcentral lists this unclassified non-coding RNA (355 nucleotides) under soil metagenome. RNAcentral's name for it is "partial contains 5.8S ribosomal RNA, internal transcribed spacer 2, and large subunit ribosomal RNA". The stretch from base 1 to 120 matches the Rfam family "5.8S ribosomal RNA", at positions 35 to 154 of the family's 154-position model. The record is from RNAcentral.
GAUGAAGAACGUAGCGAAAUGCGAUAAGUAAUGUGAAUUGCAGAAUUCAGUGAAUCAUCGAAUCUUUGAACGCACAUUGCGCCCAUUAGUAUUCUAGUGGGCAUGCCUGUUCGAGCGUCAUUAAGUCCACUUAAGCCCUGCUUAGUGUUGGGAGACUGCUCCAGCGGUGCUACCCUGUAGCUGCCCUGCAGCUUCUCAAAGACAGCGGCGGAGUUGUGGUAUCCUCUGAGCUUAGUAACUUGUUCUAGCUUUCGAGUACACCACUUCCCCUGCCGUAAAACCCUUAAUUUUUAAUGGUUGACCUCGGAUCAGGUAGGAAUACCCGCUGAACUUAAGCAUAUCAAUAAGCGGAGGA